RNAcentral lists this RNase P RNA (422 nucleotides) under Brucella ovis ATCC 25840. RNAcentral's name for it is "sRNA". It matches the Rfam family "Bacterial RNase P class A". From Rfam's summary of the family: Ribonuclease P (RNase P) is a ubiquitous endoribonuclease, found in archaea, bacteria and eukarya as well as chloroplasts and mitochondria. Its best characterised activity is the generation of mature 5'-ends of tRNAs by cleaving the 5'-leader elements of precursor-tRNAs. Cellular RNase Ps are ribonucleoproteins. Lineage: Bacteria; Pseudomonadati; Pseudomonadota; Alphaproteobacteria; Hyphomicrobiales; Brucellaceae. The record is from RNAcentral.
CAGUCGGUCGGGCAGCCGCGCCUGUCAUGUGCCGAAAGGCGGCAGGUGAGGAAAGUCCGGGCUCCAAGGAAACACGAUGCCGGGUAACGCCCGGCGGGGGCGACCCCAGGGAAAGUGCCACAGAAAGCAAACCGCCCCGUCUUCCGUACCGUUUCGGGUAAACGGCAGGGAUGACGGGGUAAGGGUGAAAGGGUGGGGUAAGAGCCCACCGCGCCGGCAGCAAUGCAGGCGGCACGGUAAACCCCAUCGGGAGCAAAACCGAAUAGGGACGGCGCGUCGGCUCGAAAGGGCAGGCAAUCGGUUUCCGGAUCAGCCGUCCGGGUGGGUUGCACGAGGCGGGUGGCGACAUCCGUCCCAGAUGAAUGGCUGCCGCGCCGGGCGCAAGCCCGGCCGUACAGAACCCGGCUUACAGACCGGCUGAC